CGUGCAGGCGGGGUUGGUAAGUCAGAUGUGAAAGCCCUGGGCUCAACCCAGGAAGUGCAUUUGAAACUGCCAUCCUUGAGUAUGGGAGAGGAGAGUGGAAUUCCCAAUGUAGAGGUGAAAUUCGUAGAUAUUGGGAGGAACACCCGUGGCGAAGGCGACUCUCUGGACCAAUACUGACGCUGAGACGCGAAAGCGUGGGGAGCAAACA
This 208-nucleotide ribosomal RNA is filed under the name uncultured bacterium. RNAcentral's name for it is "partial 16S ribosomal RNA". It matches the Rfam family "Bacterial small subunit ribosomal RNA", at positions 568 to 774 of the family's 1533-position model. The record is from RNAcentral.